Heterocephalus glaber (naked mole-rat) is the source of this 2414-nucleotide long non-coding RNA. RefSeq lists it as uncharacterized. The record is from RefSeq and is a predicted model, not a curated record. Lineage: Eukaryota; Metazoa; Chordata; Mammalia; Rodentia; Bathyergidae.
UCAUUCAACAAAACACCGGUGAGGUACAGCAGCACAGUAAGGCAGAGCAUGGGCGGCUCCAUCUGUCCAGUCUGUAUGAACUGAAGCCCAGCUUUGCCCUUUAGCUGUGUGACUUUGGGCAACUUAUGUGAGCUCUCGUGUCUCUGUCCUGUCAUCUGUGAAACAGGAAUUAUACUGGGACCUGUUUCACGGGGUUCUAAUGAUGAUUAAAUGAGUUACAUUUGUAAAGUUUUUAGAUGAGUACCUGGCACAAAGUGUUUGCUAAAUAAUCUAAGGAAAGAAAAGAAAAAAACCAGCCAGGUGCUAGCUGUCGAGAAAGAAAAAUACUACAUAAUUCUUGCCAUCAGGAAAUUACAAUCAGAUUGAAGGAAUGUGGAACCCCUUAGGCUCAUGAAUUCUCACUGCAAAUCUUAGACACUUUCACAGAUGAGAAGAGAUGCUGACUAUACAAACCCAGCCUUAUGCCUCAGAUUAUUUGCCCACUCCUCCUUACUGAGCAUAUCCCACACCCUAGACAGACUCGGGAACCAGACAGACCAGGUCUGUGGGAAGCCAUGGAGAACGUGGCCUGGAGCAGGAGGAGGUUGACUUUGGCAGUUCCUAAGAAAGCAGUCGAACCAGCAUCGGGCCACACAGUACUAUUUCUCCAACUUCCCUCAGAGAACGGAGAUUCCGCUGGAGAACCACGAUCAGGCCCCCCAGGUUUAGGCGUACAACAGCACCAAGCAGCCUCCCAUGUGCCCCAGGAGACCCUCGGCCCCUAAGACCCAGCCCCGCGGGCGCCCUCUGCUGGGGGACGUGUCCGGGACAUGCCUUCUAAAACAGGAAAAGAGGAAGGAAAGCCUGAGCUCAGACUUGCCAGACAAUAAAAGAAAAACGUGAAGGGAAAUGGACCACCCAGGCUUGCACAGAUGAGGACACCCAUCAGGGAGCCCAAAGCCAAGCUGUUCCCUGGAUGCAGCCCUCUGCCACUUAGUCUGCAAGUGCUUCCUGUCUCUCCUUGGUCUCUGACUUGCAGCCUGCUUUGGAAAUGACUUGGCCCACACUCCUCCAGCUCUUGCGCAUCAAUCAACCCAUGACUGUACGGGCUGACUCAAGGACGUGCUUCUUCCUUUCAAUACAUAAAGAACUUUUGUCUACGAUGAGCUCUGCCAUGCAGUUACUUGAUUACAUAGGCUUUUGUUUUUUGCCCAGGAUGGUCUUUCUAAAAAUUGAUGCUAAAAAAAAAAAACCCUGAAUGCCACUGAUUUCAUACUUCAAAAUGAUUCAAAUGGCAAAUUUCAUGUUAUAUGUAUUUUACAAUAGAAAAUAAUCAGGCAAUUAAUUUUUAAAGAUAUGGUACAACUCCAAGAUAUUCCACAGUAAAAAUAUUUUUGAUUAAAGUAUACUCAUCAAAAAAAUUAAAAUAAAUAAGUAAUAAAAUUGAUAGUAAGGUUAAUUUAUAACCAGGUAGUAUGGGGGGGUGCGUGGAGUAAGGUUUAGAGAAAAAUAGACAGGCUUUUCUUCCCACACCUUUUUUCCUAACAACUCUUUAUCUGUCUGCACCAUAACAAAACACCCUGCUGAAAUGGGAAUUCAUUGGUCUAAAAAAAAAAUCAUAGUAUACUGUCUAAACACCACCACCCACUGUGCAUAUCAUCACAAGCUUCAUAAGAUUUACUGAAUAUCACAAAUUGAGCCUUUGAUUUGAUAAAUUUGAUAACUUUUUUUGUUUAGUACUAAGGGUUGAACCCAGGUCCUUGCACUGAGCUACAUCCCCAGCACUUUUUAAAUUUUUUCCUUUCAAUACAGGGUCUUGCUAAGUUGCCCAGGCUGGCCUUGAAGUUACGAUUCUCGUGCCUCAACCUCCUGAGUAGCUGGGAUUAUAGGUGUCCAUGGCCCCACCAGGCUAAUUUGAUACUUUUGAUGAUCAUUCUUAUACAAUAGUUUGGAUUUGGAAAGAUCAAUAGCUAAAAUUGUAACUUUUAGCUUUGUACAAUAGUAACUGAAUUGAUAAAUUUAACACAGUAUAACCAACCAGUCUAUAUCACAUACAUAUUUGGUGUGUUCAUAACCCAAUACACUGGCAUAUGAAGCAGAUCAAUGGGAGGAGGGGUUGCCAUUUCUGGAUUUUGGGGAAUGUAUUACAUCCGACUUGUGUCUUUAACAUGCAGGAAGACCAUGAGACUAUUUCAUGCCAAGUUCACAGCUUUUAUUUAAUAUUAAACAAUGCCAUAAAUUGGAAUAAAUGCAAAUAUGCUAAAUAAAUCAUAAAAGACUUAAGGGUAAAUUGAAGUGCAAGAUAAACAGUUGUCUUAACAAAAUAAAACAAACUGGGUCAAUUUUGGAGUGAUAUUUUUAUUUUUCCAGGGGUUUUUUGGGGGGGGUACAUGUUUGCAAUACAUGAUUACACUCCUUGUGGGGAAUUGGUACAU